RNAcentral lists this ribosomal RNA (483 nucleotides) under uncultured bacterium. RNAcentral describes it as "bacterial SSU rRNA". It matches the Rfam family "Bacterial small subunit ribosomal RNA", at positions 26 to 507 of the family's 1533-position model. The record is from RNAcentral.
CGAGGACGAACGCUGGCGGCGUGCCUAACACAUGCAAGUCGAACGAAGCAUUUAAGUGAAUCCCUUCGGGGUGAAGCUUUUAUGACUUAGUGGCGGACGGGUGAGUAACGCGUGAGUAACCUGCCCUUGAGUGGGGAAUAACACACCGAAAGGUGUGCUAAUACCGCAUAACAUAUCAGAAUCGCAUGUUUUUGAUAUCAAAGAUUUAUUGCUCAAGGAUGGGCUCGCGGCCGAUUAGGUAGUUGGUGAGGUAACGGCUCACCAAGCCGACGAUCGGUAGCCGGACUGAGAGGUUGAACGGCCACAUUGGGACUGAGACACGGCCCAAACUCCUACGGGAGGCAGCAGUGGGGAAUAUUGCACAAUGGGGGAAACCCUGAUGCAGCGACGCCGCGUGAGCGAUGAAGUAUUUCGGUAUGUAAAGCUCUAUCAGCAGGGAAGAAAAUGACGGUACCUGACUAAGAAGCACCGGCUAAAUACGUG